RNAcentral lists this ribosomal RNA (389 nucleotides) under uncultured bacterium. RNAcentral describes it as "bacterial SSU rRNA". It matches the Rfam family "Bacterial small subunit ribosomal RNA", at positions 30 to 418 of the family's 1533-position model. The record is from RNAcentral.
AUUGAACGCUGGCGGCAUGCCUUACACAUGCAAGUCGAACGGCAGCACGGGAGCUUGCUCCUGGUGGCGAGUGGCGAACGGGUGAGUAAUACAUCGGAACGUACCCUGAAGUGGGGGAUAACGUAGCGAAAGUUACGCUAAUACCGCAUAUUCUGUGAGCAGGAAAGAGGGGAUCGCAAGACCUCUUGCUUUAGGAGCGGCCGAUGUCGGAUUAGCUAGUUGGUGAGGUAAAGGCUCACCAAGGCGACGAUCCGUAGCGGGUCUGAGAGGAUGAUCCGCCACACUGGGACUGAGACACGGCCCAGACUCCUACGGGAGGCAGCAGUGGGGAAUUUUGGACAAUGGGCGCAAGCCUGAUCCAGCCAUGCCGCGUGAGUGAAGAAGGCCUC